CCUACGGGCGGCUGCAGUGGGGAAUAUUGCACAAUGGGCGCAAGCCUGAUGCAGCCAUGCCGCGUGUGUGAAGAAGGCCUUCGGGUUGUAAAGCACUUUCAGCGGGGAGGAAGGCGUUAAGGUUAAUAACCUUGGCGAUUGACGUUACCCGCAGAAGAAGCACCGGCUAACUCCGUGCCAGCAGCCGCGGUAAUACGGAGGGUGCAAGCGUUAAUCGGAAUUACUGGGCGUAAAGCGCACGCAGGCGGUCUGUCAAGUCGGAUGUGAAAUCCCCGGGCUCAACCGGGGAACUGCAUUCGAAACUGGCAGGCUAGAGUCUUGUAGAGGGGGGUAGAAUUCCAGGUGUAGCGGUGAAAUGCGUAGAGAUCUGGAGGAAUACCGGUGGCGAAGGCGGCCCCCUGGACAAAGACUGACGCUCAGGUGCGAAAGCGUGGGGAGCAAACAGGAUUAGAUACCCGAGUAGUC
This 465-nucleotide ribosomal RNA is filed under the name uncultured Klebsiella sp. Its description in RNAcentral is "bacterial SSU rRNA". It matches the Rfam family "Bacterial small subunit ribosomal RNA", at positions 338 to 795 of the family's 1533-position model. Lineage: Bacteria; Pseudomonadati; Pseudomonadota; Gammaproteobacteria; Enterobacterales; Enterobacteriaceae. The record is from RNAcentral.